This is a long non-coding RNA of Diuraphis noxia (Russian wheat aphid), 1898 nucleotides long. RefSeq lists it as uncharacterized. The record is from RefSeq and is a predicted model, not a curated record. NCBI's taxonomy places the organism in Eukaryota, Metazoa, Arthropoda, Insecta, Hemiptera, Aphididae.
GCGAAAAGGACUUUUUCUAGCRUACGACUUGUUUUUUGAAGAAAUCGUUUUUGGUUUGAUAAAAUGUAAUAAAAAUAGUAAACUAUAAUUCAUAUAACACUUUAUUCACUUAAUAUCUUCUUAUGAUUAUUGCUUUUUUUUACGCUACACAGCGCAUUCGUCUUGUUCAUUUAAUCAUUUUAACAUUUUUAACCAUUUCCGUAUUCCGUUUUCAUUCAAUAUUUAUAUUUAAUAAACAAUUAAAAAUGUYAGUCAAUAUAUCAUCAAAUUCUGACCGUUCUGGUAAAGAAUAUGUUUUAGAUGUUUUAAAAAAUCUACCUAUGUCUAGAAUAAAUCACGAUCGUAAGAUGCUUUCAACAGCUUGCUUGGACAUUAUAAUGAUAAUAUUUUUAAAAUCAGAUUUAGGUUGAAUUAAAUAUGUUCAUGAUUCAAUUUUAUACCAUAUUAUGACGAAGGAUGAUCAGCUACUAGAAAUUCAACUGUUAUAUGUACUGUAACAUUAUGAGAUCAGAGCAUUUCAAGUAAAUUAAUAUAGUGAUGUUAUUCAGAUUCACUAGUCUAUUGUAUUUGGAGUUGUGAAAUGCGUUUUAAACUGUGUAGCAAUCCAUUAUCAUGUCCAAAAUGAAAUUAAAAAACUAGAUGUGCAAAUACCACAACUUUUKUUGAAUUAUUGGAGUAAUUUAUUGUACAGACAAGGUCACAAGGAUCCAGUAUUUCAAGAGUAACAUAGGAGAAUAGUAUARAAAUGGAAAACACUUUGAUUUCAAUGUGCAAAUAGUAUUCAAAUUAGUCAGAUGUGGUGGACAACCAUGGCGAACUGUUUUUGAUACCAUGAAGGUACACUCAUCUAAUGAUAAAGUUGCCUGUCUGGCAGUUUCAGUCUACAUUGAAUAUUGUAUGUAUACAAAUGUUAAGAYCACGCAAAAGAAACUUAGUGMAACUAUAAACGUCAUCAAGACUAACUUCAGAGAAGAAUAUGUACAAUUGACCCCUUUGCAGUUAAUUGUUCAAGAUUCGUAUCGCCUGUUAAUAAUCUAGAUGGUCGGUGGCUGUUGUUGAUGUCUCUUGAAUCCUUUUCUUGUGCUUGUUUUGCAUUGCUAUCAAGCUGGCUGAUUGAACUGAUGACCAGUUUUUAUUUCUAAUAAUAGUCAGAUCUUGGAAAUACUACAAAAUAUACUUAAUUAGUGUUUUGAUACUAUUCUCGCACUUAUGUUUCAGCCAAUGUAAUGCUGCUUUGAAUUAACAACUUGUAACAACAGACUAUAGUUACUCCUCAUUGUACGCUGGUAUGCUAUAAGAUGGCCUCUUUGAUUGAACGACUCACUCCUAUGGUGGUCAAACAUCCAGAUCUUAAAUUACAUCAAAACAUAUUCAAUAUGAGGCUAAUGUCACUGGUAAACUAUAUUUCACCACAAGCUUCUCAUUCAUURCAUAUGCCCAUUGUCCAGACCUACUGAUUUGUGUCAAUUAUAUGUUGUAAAGCACAAACCUGUUACUACAAUCAACAAUAACAAUCGGUUUUAAUGCACAAUUAUUAACCAAAUACUAAUGAUCAAGAUACAAGAAAUACUACAAGAAAUAUUUGUUUAUACAGUAAUCAAAUGAUUCAUGAAACUCCUUUUUUAUUUUGAUUUCAAGUGAUCAAAAUCAGAAUAUAGUUCAUUAAUUGAAUGAUCUAUUUAAAAUAAAAGAUUUCACUUAAAUGUUUAUAGGCUCAUGUAUUUUUUUCACGCCAGGACUGACUCACUUCUAAAUUAUUAAAAAGUAUUUUUAAUCGUUUGAUUUUUAAGCAAAAGAUUUUUUCUUGAGAAAAACUUUUUUAAAUCACGAUGCAUAUUCUAAGUUUAUUUGGUUAAAGAAUAAAGUUGAUUUAUUAAUGAAUCUCAUUUUUGGUUUUU